GGAAUUCCGCUAGUUCUGAACU
RNAcentral lists this microRNA (22 nucleotides) under Lepisosteus oculatus (spotted gar). RNAcentral's name for it is "Loc-Mir-726_5p* (star (passenger))". The record is from RNAcentral. Lineage: Eukaryota; Metazoa; Chordata; Actinopteri; Semionotiformes; Lepisosteidae. RNAcentral also lists the same sequence under 9 other names.